UAGGGAAUCUUCGGCAAUGGACGAAAGUCUGACCGAGCAACGCCGCGUGAGUGAAGAAGGUUUUCGGAUCGUAAAACUCUGUUGUUAGAGAAGAACAAGGACGUUAGUAACUGAAAGUCCCCUGACGGUAUCUAACCAGAAAGCCACGGCUAACUACGUGCCAGCAGCCGCGGUAAUACGUAGGUGGCAAGCGUUGUCCGGAUUUAUUGGGCGUAAAGCGAGCGCAGGCGGUUUCUUAAGUCUGAUGUGAAAGCCCCCGGCUCAACCGGGGAGGGUCAUUGGAAACUGGGGGACUUGAGUGCAGAAGAGGAGAGUGGAAUUCCAUGUGUAGCGGUGAAAUGCGUAGAUAUAUGGAGGAACACCAGUGGCGAAGGCGGCUCUCUGGUCUGUAACUGACGCUGAGGCUCGAAAGCGUGGGGAGCAAACAGG
This 429-nucleotide ribosomal RNA is filed under the name Gemmatimonadota bacterium. RNAcentral's name for it is "Gemmatimonadetes bacterium partial 16S ribosomal RNA". It matches the Rfam family "Bacterial small subunit ribosomal RNA", at positions 355 to 776 of the family's 1533-position model. Lineage: Bacteria; Pseudomonadati; Gemmatimonadota. The record is from RNAcentral.